AAAAGGGUUUCAAGGGUAACGGCAGCUUUGACAAUUCAUCAGAGCGAACAGGAGGCUCAAAAGGAAGCGCAAAAGGAAGCUUUGGAAGCGCAGCAGGUCGACUCAAGGGCACAUCACACCAUGGAGGUUUGGAAAUCCAGAUCCUCAAGGACCAUCGUCAAGGACCCGAUGAAGAAGGAAAUUAUGAUUUUAAUUUUGAAAAUGAAAAUGGUAUCAUUCGCCAGGAACAAGGUAUCGCAAAGGGAGAGUCUGGCGCUGUAACGCAACAAGGGGGAUGGUCAUUUUCUUUCCCCGAUGGUACUUCAGCAUCAUUCAAUUUCGUUGCUGACGAAAAAGGAUUUCGAGUCGAGUCUGACUUACUGCCAACUCCCCAUCCCCUGCCCGCCCACGCCAUCGCUCAGAUCGAAAGAGCUCGUCAACAAACUGCCUCUCCCCCACAAGCGCUGCGUCCCGAUGAACCUAAAAUCUCUUCCCAGACCCCCAGCAGAACCUAUGGCUAUCCUUAGCUUGUACUGCCCAUAGCUUCAGUCUGAUCUCACACGUUUUCAUCAAUUACCGUCUUCUUUUGAUAUUUCCCAGUCAGCGUUAACCUGGGGCUUGCAAUAGCUCUGGCAUUUAAAGCAAUCAAAACUAUU
Long non-coding RNA from Penaeus monodon (black tiger shrimp), 635 nucleotides. RefSeq lists it as uncharacterized. The transcript has 3 exons. NCBI's taxonomy places the organism in Eukaryota, Metazoa, Arthropoda, Malacostraca, Decapoda, Penaeidae. The record is from RefSeq and is a predicted model, not a curated record.